Anthonomus grandis grandis is the source of this 611-nucleotide long non-coding RNA. RefSeq lists it as uncharacterized. NCBI's taxonomy places the organism in Eukaryota, Metazoa, Arthropoda, Insecta, Coleoptera, Curculionidae. The record is from RefSeq and is a predicted model, not a curated record. The transcript is spliced from 3 exons.
AUUUAUGUCCGAUUUAAAUAUCGCGCCAAUAUUUCGAACUGAACUGUCAACUGCCUCCCAGCGGGGACACGGCUCCUUAUAUACUCGACUGAGCAUGGUUUGGGAAGUUUCGCUCAUUUUCCACGCGUCUCCAGCGACGUCGUGCGGUGUGCCCGAUUGCCCGCUCGUUUUAUUUUAGAAUGCCGGAGAACAUCUAGUUUUUACGGCGUUGCCAAUAUUAUUCCACAGAUGAAAUAACAAUCAACGCUUUUCUCCAGAGAACGACGUUUGAAAGUAUAACAGCACACCAGAACUUGCAUGCUUGUAGACCUGAAGACCACUUCUAACAUGCUGCGAAUCAUCCUCCAGUCCAGAUCAUCGAGUUGGCAUGCGAGUUUGGGAAUUGCUAAGCUUCUCAGACCGUCGGCAAGUAACUCGUCCUUUAGAGAAUAGACAAACCGUCUCAAACGUCCUUAUAGGUUGGCUUCUGAUGUGAUGGUAACCAGGUGCCGCUGAAGGACACCGUCAGUAUGACGAUAGAAGAAACCAAAGCAAAAUAGAUUAACGUUGAUAGAAACUAUAACUAUGUCUUGCCCGUAUCAACAGAUCUAUCACCUAAAUACAUGCUUUGG